Molecule: ribosomal RNA, 729 nt
Filed under: uncultured bacterium
Lineage: Bacteria
Description: bacterial SSU rRNA
Rfam family: Bacterial small subunit ribosomal RNA
Source: RNAcentral
CAGGCCUAACACAUGCAAGUCGAACGAGAAGGGCCCUUCGGGGCUGAGUAAAGUGGCGGACGGGUGAGUAACGCGUAGGAAUCUACCCGGCAGUGGGGGAUAACUCGGGGAAACUCGAGCUAAUACCGCAUGCGACCGGUGCCUUAGGGUGCCGAUGAAAGCGGGGGAUCUCGCCGUGGCGGUUUCGGCCGCAGCGGAAGACCUCGCGCUGUCGGAGGAGCCUGCGUUGGAUUAGCUUGUUGGUGGGGUAAUGGCCUACCAAGGCGACGAUCCAUAGCUGGUCUGAGAGGACGAUCAGCCACACUGGGACUGAGACACGGCCCAGACGGCUACGGUCGGCAGCAGGUGGGAAUCUUGCACAAUGGGCGAAAGCCUGAUGCAGCCAUGCCGCGUGUGUGAAGAAGGCCUUAGGGUUGUAAAGCACUUUCAGUGGCGAAGAAAAGGUCGGCGUUAAUAGCGCCGACCCUUGACGUUAACCACAGAAGAAGCACCGGCCAACUCCGUGCCAGCAGCCGCGGUAAUACGGAGGGUGCGAACGUUAAUCGGAAUUACUGGGCGUAAAGCGCGCGUAGGCGGUUUGUUAAGUGGGAUGUGAAAUCCCCGGGCUCAACCUGGGAACUGCAUUUCAAACUGACAAACUAGAGUUCAGUAGAGGGAGGUGGAAUUUCCUGUGUAGCGGUGAAAUGCGUAGAUAUAGGGAGGAACACCAGUGGCGAAGGCGGCCUCCUG